UUUCCAUCGCACUUCAUAAAACUGGUCGGAAUUUCUACGGUGGUGCCGGUAGAGGAGAGAGUUGAAGGCGUAACACCGUUUGCCGGAGUCGGAGAAAAAUGGGCGCCGGAGAGGAGCACCAACCGGAGCCAUCGCUCGAGAAUGUAAGCGCAGCAUCUUCCAUAUCGGCAAUUGCAGAGGACCUGCAGCGCACGGUUGUUCAAUCGAAGGAUUCGGCAAUUCGCUCUGCUCGUUCACUCCAAGAGGCCUCUUCCUCCCAUAUCCGUUCCUUCCAGGAUUUUG
RNAcentral lists this unclassified non-coding RNA (282 nucleotides) under Hevea brasiliensis (rubber tree). The record is from RNAcentral. Lineage: Eukaryota; Viridiplantae; Streptophyta; Magnoliopsida; Malpighiales; Euphorbiaceae.